ACAGGGUAUUGCCCUAGUAACGGCGAGUGAAGCGGCAACAGCUCAAAUUUGAAAUCUGGCUCUUUUAGAGUCCGAGUUGUAAUUUGCAGAGGGCGCUUUGGCUUUGGCAGCGGUCCAAGUUCCUUGGAACAGGACGUCACAGAGGGUGAGAAUCCCGUACGUGGUCGCUGGCUAUUGCCGUGUAAAGCCCCUUCGACGAGUCGAGUUGUUUGGGAAUGCAGCUCUAAAUGGGAGGUACAUUUCUUCUAAAGCUAAAUAUUGGCCAGAGACCGAUAGCGCACAAGUAGAGUGAUCGAAAGAUGAAAAGCACUUUGGAAAGAGAGUCAAACAGCACGUGAAAUUGUUGAAAGGGAAGCGCUUGCAGCCAGACUUGCUUACAGUUGCUCAUCCGGGUUUCUACCCGGUGCACUCUUCUGUAGGCAGGCCAGCAUCAGUUUGGGCGGUAGGAUAAAGGUCUCUGUCACGUACCUCCUUUCGGGGAGGCCUUAUAGGGGAGACGACAUACUACCAGCCUGGACUGAGGUCCGCGCAUCUGCUAGGAUGCUGGCGUAAUGGCUGUAAGCGGCCCGUCUUGAAACACGGACCAAGGAGUCUAACAUCUAUGCGAGUGUUUGGGUGUCAAGCCCGAGCGCGUAAUGAAAGUGAACGGAGGUGGGAACCCGCAAGGGUGCACCAUCGACCGAUCCUGAUGUCUUCGGAAGGAUUUGAGUAAGAGCAUGGCUGUUGGGACCCGAAAGAUGGUGAACUAUGCUUGAAUAGGGUGAAGCCAGAGGAAACUCUGGUGGAGGCUCGCAGCGGUUCUGACGUGCAAAUCGAUCGUCAAAUUUGGGCAUAGGGGCGAAAGACUAAU
RNAcentral lists this ribosomal RNA (850 nucleotides) under Alternaria alternata. RNAcentral's name for it is "eukaryotic LSU rRNA". It matches the Rfam family "Eukaryotic large subunit ribosomal RNA", at positions 68 to 935 of the family's 3401-position model. The record is from RNAcentral. Lineage: Eukaryota; Fungi; Ascomycota; Dothideomycetes; Pleosporales; Pleosporaceae.